GACCGCCUAGCUCAGUUGGUAGAGCAUUGGGCUGGUAUUCCAAAGUCGUAGGUUCAUUUCCCACCGUGGUCA
This 72-nucleotide transfer RNA is filed under the name Paramuricea clavata. It matches the Rfam family "tRNA". From Rfam's summary of the family: Transfer RNA (tRNA) molecules are approximately 80 nucleotides in length. Their secondary structure includes four short double-helical elements and three loops (D, anti-codon, and T loops). Further hydrogen bonds mediate the characteristic L-shaped molecular structure. tRNAs have two regions of fundamental functional importance: the anti-codon, which is responsible for specific mRNA codon recognition, and the 3' end, to which the tRNAs corresponding amino acid is attached (by aminoacyl-tRNA synthetases). tRNAs cope with the degeneracy of the genetic code in two manners: having more than one tRNA (with a specific anti-codon) for a particular amino acid; and 'wobble' base-pairing, i.e. permitting non-standard base-pairing at the 3rd anti-codon position. Lineage: Eukaryota; Metazoa; Cnidaria; Anthozoa; Malacalcyonacea; Plexauridae. The record is from Rfam by way of RNAcentral.